AUGAUCGAUUCCACAUGCAGUAGAGUACCGGAAAGGCCUCCUAAUGGGAUCACGGAAGGAGUUGCGGAGGCAUUAAAAUUGUCUCAGGAGGAUCUCGGAUGGUUUCCCUAUGAAAAAAAAAAUCUUUCAGACGAAACCACGUGGCGCUCACAAGGCAUCAGGACGUGCCUACCCCCCAGGGUGUGCCCUGUUGCAUUGUCGUCUCCUCAUUUGUCCUCUGGUCUCCUACUGAAGCUUCUCGGGCUCAUUCUUCCAGAAAAAAAUGAUCAAAAAGAUUCAUAUCAUUUGGACUCCGUUUGGUACAGAUUUUCUAGAAAACAAGAGACAAGCACAAAAUAG
This 339-nucleotide ribosomal RNA is filed under the name Triticum aestivum (bread wheat). RNAcentral's name for it is "partial small subunit ribosomal RNA". The record is from RNAcentral. Lineage: Eukaryota; Viridiplantae; Streptophyta; Magnoliopsida; Poales; Poaceae.